RNAcentral lists this ribosomal RNA (472 nucleotides) under uncultured bacterium. Its description in RNAcentral is "bacterial SSU rRNA". It matches the Rfam family "Bacterial small subunit ribosomal RNA", at positions 28 to 507 of the family's 1533-position model. The record is from RNAcentral.
GAUGAACGCUAGCGGCAGGCUUAACACAUGCAAGUCGAGGGGCAGCAUGAUUGUUAGCAAUAACAAUUGAUGGCGACCGGCGCAAGGGUGCGUAACGCGUGAGCAACUUGCCCUUAUCAGGGGGAUAACCGUUGGAAACGACGACUAAUACCCCAUAGUAUCUGGAGAAGGCAUCUUUUUCAGCUUAAAGAAAUUCGGAUAAGGAUAGGCUCGCGUGACAUUAGCUAGUUGGCGGGGUAACGGCCCACCAAGGCGACGAUCAGUAGCCGGACUGAGAGGAUGAACGGCCACAUUGGGACUGAGAUACGGCCCAGACUCCUACGGGAGGCAGCAGUGGGGAAUAUUGGGCAAUGGGGGAAACCCUGACCCAGCAACGCCGCGUGAAGGAAGAAGGCCUUCGGGUUGUAAACUUCUUUUAGCAGGGACGAAGGACGUGACGGUACCUGCAGAAAAAGCAACGGCUAACUACGUG